GGUCCAGGCAGGAGAUUGGGGCGGCGGAAGUGGCUGGGCGAGUGGGCGUGGCCUGUGGAGCCUGGAGAUGCGGCACAUGCGCAGUACGGCUUUAGCGCCCUGCGCCUGAUCCCGACCAGAGAAACGCUAUCUAUCCUCCAUUCUUCUGGCCCAAGACCAGUAAUCAGAUUCCUGGCUCUGGUAGAAUUUAUUUUUCCAAAGACCGCCACGGUGUUCCCAUCUGGCGUGCCCUUCCGACACCGCGGUGCCGUUCAGGAGCCACAGCAGACUGACUCCGGCGGAGUGGCCCUGCGUGGCUCUGAGGCGAAGACGGACAGAAAUGGUAAUCCGGCUGCUGCCUGGCUCUCUUGGCUCACGACGGCUGUGCUGGGAGGAACCCCAUUCCCCACUCAGACACCGCCACGGAGAGUAGACGCAGAUAUUCCAGGCUCACUCCGCGGAGGACAAAGCCCGUUCCAAGAAAACCCCGCUGCUGAGUCAUCCCCGGCUCUUUCGUCUUUCUGUCUGAGACUCCAGACAUCAUGGAGCCGCCUCUACUGUACUCUUUGAACUUCUGACCCACAAAGUCUGUUACAUAAUAAAAUGGAAACGUAACACCACACUGAGAUAACAUUCAGCCUCGCUAGGGUGGCCAUGAUAAAAGAAGACGAAUGAAGCUGGGAGUAACCCCAGCACUCUAGGAGGCUGAGGCAGGAGGACUGCAAGUUCAAGCCCCGCCUGGGAAAUGUAUUUAUUAUUUUUUCAAUUUAUUUUAUCCCCCUCCAACAAUCUCCCCUUCCUAAGUACAAAAGCUUUGUUUUCAUUUUUCCUUCUUUUUUUGGUACUGGGGAUCGAAUUUAGGAUCUUGCACUUGUGAGGCAGGCAGCGGAACC
Molecule: long non-coding RNA, 872 nt
Filed under: Fukomys damarensis (Damara mole-rat)
Lineage: Eukaryota; Metazoa; Chordata; Mammalia; Rodentia; Bathyergidae
Description: lncRNA (ENSFDAG00000030411.1)
Source: RNAcentral